This 322-nucleotide long non-coding RNA is filed under the name Eucalyptus grandis. RNAcentral's name for it is "long non-coding RNA (EGRA_LNC002569)". The record is from RNAcentral. Lineage: Eukaryota; Viridiplantae; Streptophyta; Magnoliopsida; Myrtales; Myrtaceae.
UGUUGCUGUAAAAUCAGGGUUUAAGGAGCGUGGGUUUAUGUAGAAACCUGGGAUUACGCUCUGCGACAGCGCGAACUCGAAAGAUGCUGCGGCGUCCCGAGGAUGGAAAUUGCUGGGAAGAUUCGUGUGUUGGCGUGACUACCGUAUUGAUUUGGCCCCGCGCGGAGAGGAGAUUCGAUCCGAUGCGCCUGACCGCGGCUUCAUCGAGCAUCUGGUACGACGAACGAUUGGAAAAAUCCAAAAUUUUGCUCCAUGGGGUGGGGUGGGACCUUCCUCGGUCGUACGGCAUAUAUACCUUCGCAAGAAUGAAACUCAAAAAAAU